Molecule: ribosomal RNA, 479 nt
Filed under: uncultured bacterium
Lineage: Bacteria
Description: partial 16S ribosomal RNA
Rfam family: Bacterial small subunit ribosomal RNA
Source: RNAcentral
GACGAACGCUGGCGGCGUGCUUAACACAUGCAAGUCGAACGAUGAAGCCGGAGCUUGCUCUGGUGAAUUAGUGGCGAACGGGUGAGUAACACGUGAGUAACCUGCCCUUGACUCUGGGAUAACUGCGGGAAACUGUAGCUAAUACCGGAUACGACCCUCGGAGGCAUCUCCUGGGGGUGGAAAGAAUUUCGGUCAAGGAUGGACUCGCGGCCUAUUAGCUAGUUGGUGAGGUAAAGGCUCACCAAGGCGGCGACGGGUAGCCGGCCUGAGAGGGUGACCGGCCACACUGGGACUGGGACACGGCCCAGACUCCUACGGGAGGCAGCAGUGGGGAAUAUUGCACAAUGGGCGCAAGCCUGAUGCAGCAACGCCGCGUGAGGGAUGACGGCCUUCGGGUUGUAAACCUCUUUUAGCAGGGACGAUAAUGACGGUACCGGAAGAAGAAGCCCCGGCUAACUUCGUGCCAGCAGCCGCGGUAA